This 396-nucleotide ribosomal RNA is filed under the name uncultured bacterium. Its description in RNAcentral is "bacterial SSU rRNA". It matches the Rfam family "Bacterial small subunit ribosomal RNA", at positions 30 to 419 of the family's 1533-position model. The record is from RNAcentral.
AUUGAACGCUGGCGGCAUGCCUUACACAUGCAAGUCGAACGGCAGCAUGGAAGAGCUUGCUCUUCUGAUGGCGAGUGGCGAACGGGUGAGUAAAGCAUCGGAACGUACCGUGUAGUGGGGGAUAACGUAGCGAAAGUUACGCUAAUACCGCAUACGCACUGAGGUGGAAAGCAGGGGAUCGCAAGACCUUGCGCUAUACGAGCGGCCGAUGUCAGAUUAGCUAGUUGGUAGGGUAAAGGCCUACCAAGGCGACGAUCUGUAGCGGGUCUGAGAGGAUGAUCCGCCACACUGGGACUGAGACACGGCCCAGACUCCUACGGGAGGCAGCAGUGGGGAAUUUUGGGACAAUGGGCGAAAGCCUGAUCCAGCCAUGCCGCGUGAGUGAAGAAGGCCUUC